Molecule: transfer RNA, 68 nt
Filed under: uncultured Sutterella sp.
Lineage: Bacteria; Pseudomonadati; Pseudomonadota; Betaproteobacteria; Burkholderiales; Sutterellaceae
Rfam family: tRNA
About the family: Transfer RNA (tRNA) molecules are approximately 80 nucleotides in length. Their secondary structure includes four short double-helical elements and three loops (D, anti-codon, and T loops).
Source: RNAcentral
GGUAUCGCCAAGCUGGUUAAGGCAUCGGAUUCUGAAUCCGACAUGCGUAGGUUCGAAUCCUACUACCC